UACGUAGGUGACAAGCGUUAUCCGGAAUUACUGGGCGUAAAGAGUUCGUAGGCGGUUUGUCGCGUCGUUUGUGAAAACCCGGGGCUCAACUUCGGGCUUGCAGGCGAUACGGGCAGACUUGAGUGUUUCAGGGGAGACUGGAAUUCCUGGUGUAGCGGUGAAAUGCGCAGAUAUCAGGAGGAACACCGGUGGCGAAGGCGGGUCUCUGGGAAACAACUGACGCUGAGGAACGAAAGCGUGGGUAGCAAACAGG
Molecule: ribosomal RNA, 253 nt
Filed under: uncultured bacterium
Lineage: Bacteria
Description: partial 16S ribosomal RNA
Rfam family: Bacterial small subunit ribosomal RNA
Source: RNAcentral